This 383-nucleotide unclassified non-coding RNA is filed under the name Hevea brasiliensis (rubber tree). Lineage: Eukaryota; Viridiplantae; Streptophyta; Magnoliopsida; Malpighiales; Euphorbiaceae. The record is from RNAcentral.
AUUGUAAAAUGCAUGAUUUGAUGUAUGAUCUAGCUAAGCUAGUAGCAAGAGAGGAAAAUAUUUUACUAAUUUCAGAGGCAGAGCGUGUUCAAGAAGGAAUUCGACACUUGUCUAUUGAUUUUCAAAUUGAGUCAUGGGAGAAAGUUGCAAAUUGCUUACCUGAUAUGACAAAGUUGCGAACAUUUAUGUCAUGGCCAAAAAAGCAAGAUAAAGAAGUAGAAUGCCAUGAAAUUUUUUCCAAAUUAAGUUGUACAAGGGUAUUGGUUUUGCGUGGUAUGGGGAUUGAGAGAGUACCACCUUCCAUUAGCAAAUUGAAACUUAUAAGGUUUCUCGAUCUUUCUUAUAAUAAAGGCAUUGAGAUCCUUCCUGAUUCCAUUAUUAAA